UACGGAGGGAGCGAGCGUUGUUCGGAAUUACUGGGCGUAAAGCGUAUGUAGGCGGCUUCGUAAGACAGGUGUGAAAUCCCAGGGCUUAACCCUGGAACUGCAUUUGUGACUGCGAGGCUGGAGUAUCGGAGAGGUUGGCGGAAUUCCCAGUGUAGAGGUGAAAUUCGCAGAUAUUGGGAGGAACACCGAUGGCGCAAGCAGCCAACUGGACGAUAACUGACGCUGAGAUACGAAAGCGUGGGGAGCAAACAGG
Molecule: ribosomal RNA, 253 nt
Filed under: uncultured bacterium
Lineage: Bacteria
Description: partial 16S ribosomal RNA
Rfam family: Bacterial small subunit ribosomal RNA
Source: RNAcentral